CUCAUCGCCAACGGUGACUCACUCAAUGCAAGCAAGGCACGUGUGGGGCGCAUGGGUUCGACUCCCCAGCCUGCUCCAGAGCAUAAAAUCCACCAAACCACCCACUCGAAAAUCAGACGACCAUCGCCACCAUCCUCACAGCUGACACCACCACCACCAACACCACCAGCACUUCUACCACCAGCAAAAUCUACAUCCCACUACCAUCACCACCAACACCACCCAGAGCCUCCACUGCAGACUCUUUGCAGGAGAUAGACACGUUUUUGUCCGCGUAGGUACACAGCGGGGUUGCGUGUCUGCGGUGAAGUUCUGUUUAACGGCUCUCCGGGGGAUCUGUGCCAUUGCUUGGGUGGAGGUGCUCGUAUUUGCUGGGUGAGGCGCGUGCCACGUGGUGCAGAGCGCGUGCCCGGCCAGGAAUGGUGCGUGACCCGGGUCUGCUCCUUACGCCACCUCCACCACCGUCGCCACAGCACCGGGACGCGCUGACGGAGUUCCCACCACCCAUCCGACUGCACCUGCUGGUGCUGCUGCUGCUCCUGCCCUGAGCUGGGCAAGUGAGCAAGUUCCAACCAUAUCAUUGCCCUGAAGGUCCGGAGCAGAGGAGGAACCACACGGAUCCUGAGUGGGAGCCGCGGAGAAGGAGGAGACGGUGCUGGUGCUGCUGGUGGUGGUGCUGGUGGCCGAGGGUUCUCGGAGGGAGACGAUCCCCGGCUCUUGUCCCCACGUGGACCGAGAGUUCACACUUGUCGUGGACCGGGUGCAAGAGGUCGUGAGGACAUCACCGCUGGGC
This is a long non-coding RNA of Lethenteron reissneri (Far Eastern brook lamprey), 793 nucleotides long. RefSeq lists it as uncharacterized. Lineage: Eukaryota; Metazoa; Chordata; Hyperoartia; Petromyzontiformes; Petromyzontidae. The record is from RefSeq and is a predicted model, not a curated record.